Molecule: transfer RNA, 73 nt
Filed under: Diaphorina citri (Asian citrus psyllid)
Lineage: Eukaryota; Metazoa; Arthropoda; Insecta; Hemiptera; Psyllidae
Rfam family: tRNA
About the family: Transfer RNA (tRNA) molecules are approximately 80 nucleotides in length.
Source: Rfam by way of RNAcentral
GCCUAGUUAGCUUAGUUGGUAGUGCGUCUGCCUUGUAAGCGCUAGGCCGCAGGUUCGAUUCCCGCCUGGGGCG